This 468-nucleotide ribosomal RNA is filed under the name uncultured bacterium. RNAcentral's name for it is "partial 16S ribosomal RNA". It matches the Rfam family "Bacterial small subunit ribosomal RNA", at positions 28 to 507 of the family's 1533-position model. The record is from RNAcentral.
GACGAACGCUGGCGGCGUGCUUAACACAUGCAAGUCGAACGGAAAGGCCCUGCUUUUGUGGGGUGCUCGAGUGGCGAACGGGUGAGUAACACGUGAGUAACCUGCCCUUGACUUUGGGAUAACUUCAGGAAACUGGGGCUAAUACCGGAUAGGAGCUCCUGCUGCAUGGUGGGGGUUGGAAAGUUUCGGCGGUUGGGGAUGGACUCGCGGCUUAUCAGCUUGUUGGUGGGGUAGUGGCUUACCAAGGCUUUGACGGGUAGCCGGCCUGAGAGGGUGACCGGCCACAUUGGGACUGAGAUACGGCCCAGACUCCUCCGGGAGGCAGCAGUGGGGAAUAUUGCACACUGGGCGGAAGCCUGAUGCAGCAACGCCGCGUGCGGGAUGACGGCCUUCGGGUUGUAAACCGCUUUCGCCUGUGACGAAGCGUGAGUGACGGUAAUGGGUAAAGAAGCACCGGCUAACUACGUG